GUGCCAGCAGCCGCGGUAAUACCGGCAGCUCGAGUGAUGGCCACUCUUAUUGGGCCUAAAGCGUCCGUAGCUGGCCGCGCAAGUCCGUCGGGAAAUCCAUCAGCCCAACUGAUGGGCGUCCGGCGGAAACUGCACGGCUUGGGACCGGAAGGCUCGAGAGGUACGUCCGGGGUAGGAGUGAAAUCCUGUAAUCCUGGACGGACCGCCGGUGGCGAAAGCGCCUCGGGAGGACGGACCCGACGGUGAGGGACGAAAGCCAGGGUCUCGAACCGGAUUAGAAACCCCUGUAGUCC
Molecule: ribosomal RNA, 293 nt
Filed under: uncultured bacterium
Lineage: Bacteria
Description: partial 16S ribosomal RNA
Rfam family: Archaeal small subunit ribosomal RNA
Source: RNAcentral